Molecule: ribosomal RNA, 254 nt
Filed under: uncultured bacterium
Lineage: Bacteria
Description: partial 16S ribosomal RNA
Rfam family: Bacterial small subunit ribosomal RNA
Source: RNAcentral
UACGUAGGGGGCGAGCGUUGUCCGGAUUUAUUGGGCGUAAAGAGCUCGUAGGCGGUUUGGUAAGUUGGAUGUGAAAUCUCCAGGCUCAACUUGGAGGGGUCAUUCGAUACUGCCAUGACUAGAGUUCGGUAGGGGAGUGUGGAAUUCCUGGUGCAGCGGUGAAAUGCGUAGAGAUUAGGAAGAACACCAGUGGCGAAGGCGACUUACUGGACUGUAACUGACGCUGAGGCAUGAAAGCGUGGGGAGCAAACAGG